AUGGUGGUGGCUACGGUGUCCCGCGUCAUCGGCCUCGUUCUCCCCGGCGCGCAGCUGUCCGGGUCGCUCCCCGCCGAGCUAGCCCGCGUCGAGCACCUGCGCCACCUCGACCUAUUUGGGAACGGCCUCAACGACACCCUCCCCGCCGCACAGCUGCUCAACGCCACCGAGCUGCACGUGCUCUCGCUCGCCGGCAAUGACCUCUCUGGCGCGCUCCCGGACGCGUUCUACGCGCGGGCGCUCGAGGAGCUCAACCUUUGUGAUAACGCGCUCGCGGGCUGGCUCCCCGCCGCGCUCCUCAGGGUGCCCGGGCUCGCCGUGCUGGGCCUCGCCAACAACUACCUCGCCGGCGAGCUCCCCGUUGGCGGGCUUGGCGGGCUGCAAGUCGUCGACCUGAGCAGCAACUACUUCAGGGGGCAACUCCUGGCGAACUUCGGCGGGGCGCAACUCAAGUUCCUGAAUGUCUCGUCCAACAGCCUCACCGGAUCCCCAGAGUUCGCGAUCCCUGGAGGAAAACAGUGGAGGCCCGCCCGCUCCCCCGCUCCCGCGACUAGGCGGGUGCUAGGGUUCCCCUCGUCCCCUCCCGUCGCCGCCAGCCCUCCCGCCGCCGCCGGCCGCCCGCCUCACGCCCCACCUCCGCCCCCCUUCCGCCCUCCCCCUUCGCCGUCCAGGUCCGCCUCGCGCCGCCUCCCCAGGAGGUGGCCUGGGCGGAGCUCGCGCUCCUCUCCCGCGGGGCCCCUCCUCCCCCGUCUUUCCCUGCCGCCGCCGGCGGGCGCCCCCGGCGCUGGCCCGGGUGAUGCCGGUAGCGGGGGCCUUCUCGUCCCCGCGCGCGUGUCCUCCCUUCCUUGGGCAGGAAGGCGGCGGCGGUGCAGCCCGGCUCGGCUGCGGUCCGGUUGCCCUGCGGCGGCGGCCGGCGGCAGGCGUGGUGACGGCGCCUCUCCUUGGCGGCGGGGCGGCGUGAUGGUGUUGGGUGGUCGUCGACGCGCCCCCGGCCCAGAUCUGGGCCCGACGGGCCCCAUCUGGGCCCUAGCGGGCCGGCCCCUCGGCGUGGUCUCGUUGUCUGCGGCGCGGUGA
RNAcentral lists this ribosomal RNA (1074 nucleotides) under Triticum aestivum (bread wheat). Its description in RNAcentral is "partial small subunit ribosomal RNA". Lineage: Eukaryota; Viridiplantae; Streptophyta; Magnoliopsida; Poales; Poaceae. The record is from RNAcentral.